Molecule: non-coding RNA, 90 nt
Filed under: Pseudomonas sp. WPR_5_2
Lineage: Bacteria; Pseudomonadati; Pseudomonadota; Gammaproteobacteria; Pseudomonadales; Pseudomonadaceae
Source: RNAcentral
UGUGGGAGCGAGCCUGCUCGCGAUUGCGAUUGUCCAGUCGCCUGAUAUGUCGACUGACAGACUGCAAUCGCGAGCAGGUUCGCUCCCACA